RNAcentral lists this long non-coding RNA (279 nucleotides) under Elaeis guineensis (African oil palm). RNAcentral's name for it is "long non-coding RNA (EGUI_LNC039431)". Lineage: Eukaryota; Viridiplantae; Streptophyta; Magnoliopsida; Arecales; Arecaceae. The record is from RNAcentral.
AGGACAAAGAAAGUACCUUAUGCAUGAUGGCCAUGGUGUGCCUUUGCAAGUCGUCAAAACUCAUGUUGCCAAUGCCCCUCAGCUCUACUGAAAGUAUCAAUCUCUCGAUUAGUUCCUUAAUAAUCCUCUAGUCGUCAAAUGAUGCACUUUUAGAAAUGGAGGUAAGGCGGGCAUCUAGAUCUGCUUGAUCGAUGGAAGGAGCCAUGCUGCUUGGGCCCACAGUAGAAGGAAGUUGAGUAGGACAAGAUUGAGCUCCUGUUCAUCGAGAAAACAUCGAGA